This is a long non-coding RNA of Octopus bimaculoides (California two-spot octopus), 727 nucleotides long. The record is from RefSeq and is a predicted model, not a curated record. NCBI's taxonomy places the organism in Eukaryota, Metazoa, Mollusca, Cephalopoda, Octopoda, Octopodidae.
UCUCUGUUGUCGCAGGACUCUUCAAAGAAACUUUGAUAACACAAACACAACUAGGUUCAGAAUGUAAAAACCAUAUUUAUAUUGUGAUUGGUAGUAAUAUUAAAACUAAGUCAAGGUAGUGAACUGGUAGAACUGUUAGCAUACGAGGCAAAAUGCUUAGUGGUAUUUCGUCCAUCUUUAGGUUCUGAAUUCAAAUUCUGCCACAAUUGACACUUUGUCUUUCAUCGUUUCAGGAUCAAUAAAAUGAGUACCAGUUCAGCUCUGGAGGCAAUGCAGUUGAGUUACCCUUCCCACCGAAAUUGCUGGUCUUGUUCCAAAACUUGAAACAAAUAUUAAAAUUAAAUUAUUAUACUGAACUUAAAAAAGAAACAGAAUAUUUCAAGAUGUUGAUGUUUAAAUAUCUCAAAAAAAAAACCAGAAAAGAAAGAAAUAGUGCAUGUUCAUGCAUUUUGUUUAACUUGAGCAAAACUGGAGAAAUGGUGAAGUAAACAAGAUCAUGGCAUACUCAUCUCAACUAGUCAGCAACGGUUCAGCUAUCAUGAAGAAAAUGGCAGCUUCCAAAUACUGUUUUCUGAUGAGGGAACAGCAGUUGGGUGCAGCAGGAGUAUCCAAAAGGUGUAUGGAUGGGCAGCAGGUAAAAGUCCAUUCCAGCCAUGAACACUCUCCAUGACAACUGGUCCACAAUCAAAUUUAUAGUCGCUGGCAAGAAUGUCUCGGUCAAUAUCAG